Molecule: long non-coding RNA, 1134 nt
Organism: Astatotilapia calliptera (eastern happy)
Lineage: Eukaryota; Metazoa; Chordata; Actinopteri; Cichliformes; Cichlidae
Source: Ensembl
GUAAAUUCACUUGUCUUUGUGUUUUAAUGGAGAAGCAGUGGUGCUGUCAGUGGUAUUAAAUGGAAACUCUGCCUACUUUAAUAAUUAACAAGCUCUGUCUUUUCCAACUUUUGUUAAAUGUACAAAAAUGAAAACUUUAUGAGCAUUUCACGCAUGAGAAGCUUGCUAAUAAUAAAUAAGUUGAAUCAUGUUGCCUGCUGUUGCACUUCUGAGUGAAUCAUUGGAAUUUUCGCAUUAAGACUAAAGUAUGGUUCACUCUCAUCUCUCUUUUCUUCUAAUGUGUUUCACUCUAAUGGUUGCAGGAGGGUUUUUGUCUUUUCUUUUUUCAGUGAACUGGGGAAGGGGCAUGUCAGGGUGGAAACUUGGUUGUUGUACGCACAUUUUGAGCUGUUUUUAAUUUUAGAAUUUUUUUUGUGUUAGCAUUUUUAUAUUUGAAAUAUUUUUGAUACAAAUUAGAAAAUAAUGUAAAACAAAAAAAAGAACUAGACAAUUUUUUUCUUGUUCACCUUCAGUAUCUCACAGCGAUGGAAAGUCUGCAAAUAUUAAUCUUUGGUGGCAAACUUGGAGGACCAUUCGUUGUAAGAUAAGAUAAGAUAAGAUAAUAUAACCUUUAUUAGUCCCACACGUGGGAAAUUUGUUUUGUUACAGCAGUGGACAGUUGCAUAGAAAAAUUAGAGAAAAACUCUGGAAUAUGUUAUCAAUAAGAUACUGUACACAAUAGAAUAUAAUAAAAUAAAAUAAAAUACUAUAUACAACCGAAUAAAAUAGAAUACAAAUGCUAUAUACAAUAUGAGUGUCAGGGUCCUGGGACUGGGCGACCCAGGAUCCCUGAGCAGUCAUGUAUUUUAUUAUUAUUAUUAUUAUUAUUAUUAUUGUUGUUGUGUAUUUUGGUGUUGCUCCCCCUUCCCUGUGCUAGUGUGUAUGUGUGUGUGGGUGGCUGAGCACUUGUUUAUAGGCGGCGUCAGGCCUGGAGGGUGUGGCCCUGCAAGGGGACUGGCCACACCCGAAGCCACACACCUGCUGCUGAUCAGGCCUCGUCGGGGGAGCUACUUAAGAGAGUCUUGGAGCUCCCACCGACGCGGGAUCAUUGCAUGAGACUCCACGGAGAGCGUGGAAGGCACGGAGAGCAGCGAG